GAGUUUGAUCAUGGCUCAGGAUGAACGCUGGCGGCGUGCCUAAUACAUGCAAGUCGAACGAAACUUCUUUAUCACCGAGUGCUUGCACUCACCGAUAAAGAGUUGAGUGGCGAACGGGUGAGUAACACGUGGGCAACCUGCCCAAAAGAGGGGGAUAACACUUGGAAACAGGUGCUAAUACCGCAUAACCAUAGUUACCGCAUGGUAACUAUGUAAAAGGUGGCUAUGCUACCGCUUUUGGAUGGGCCCGCGGCGCAUUAGCUAGUUGGUGAGGUAAAGGCUUACCAAGGCAAUGAUGCGUAGCCGAACUGAGAGGUUGAUCGGCCACAUUGGGACUGAGACACGGCCCAAACUCCUACGGGAGGCAGCAGUAGGGAAUCUUCCACAAUGGGCGAAAGCCUGAUGGAGCAACGCCGCGUGGGUGAAGAAGGUCUUCGGAUCGUAAAACCCUGUUGUUAGAGAAGAAAGUGCGUGAGAGUAACUGUUCAUGUUUCGACGGUAUCUAACCAGAAAGCCACGGCUAACUACGUGCCAGCAGCCGCGGUAAUACGUAGGUGGCAAGCGUUAUCCGGAUUUAUUGGGCGUAAAGGGAACGCAGGCGGUCUUUUAAGUCUGAUGUGAAAGCCUUCGGCUUAACCGGAGUAGUGCAUUGGAAACUGGGAGACUUGAGUGCAGAAGAGGAGAGUGGAACUCCAUGUGUAGCGGUGAAAUGCGUAGAUAUAUGGAAGAACACCAGUGGCGAAAGCGGCUCUCUGGUCUGUAACUGACGCUGAGGUUCGAAAGCGUGGGGAGCAAACAGG
Molecule: ribosomal RNA, 800 nt
Filed under: uncultured bacterium
Lineage: Bacteria
Description: bacterial SSU rRNA
Rfam family: Bacterial small subunit ribosomal RNA
Source: RNAcentral